This 498-nucleotide ribosomal RNA is filed under the name uncultured bacterium. RNAcentral's name for it is "bacterial SSU rRNA". It matches the Rfam family "Bacterial small subunit ribosomal RNA", at positions 29 to 507 of the family's 1533-position model. The record is from RNAcentral.
ACGAACGCUGGCGGCGUGCCUAAUCAUGCAAGUCGAGCGGAAUGAUGAAGAAGCUUGCUUCUUCUGAUUUUAGCGGCGGACGGGUGAGUAACACGUGGGCAACCUACCUUGUAGAUUGGGAUAACUCCGGGAAACCGGGGCUAAUACCGAAUAAUCCAUUUUGCUUCAUGGCGAGAUGUUGAAAGACGGCUUCGGCUGUCACUACAAGAUGGGCCCGCGGCGCAUUAGCUAGUUGGUAGGGUAAUGGCCUACCAAGGCGACGAUGCGUAGCCGACCUGAGAGGGUGAUCGGCCACACUGGGACUGAGACACGGCCCAGACUCCUACGGGAGGCAGCAGUAGGGAAUCUUCCACAAUGGACGAAAGUCUGAUGGAGCAACGCCGCGUGAGUGAAGAAGGUUUUCGGAUCGUAAAACUCUGUUGUAAGGGAAGAACACGUACGAGAGUAACUGCUCGUACCUUGACGGUACCUUAUUAGAAAGCCACGGCUAACUACGUG